Molecule: non-coding RNA, 30 nt
Filed under: Rattus norvegicus (Norway rat)
Lineage: Eukaryota; Metazoa; Chordata; Mammalia; Rodentia; Muridae
Source: RNAcentral
UAGAUGUUUCAAAGCCCAGGUAGCUGGUUU